GUGGUGACAUUAAAAAGUUGUUAAAAAAGAAAAGGGUUCAUUCUUUUUGAAACAGACUAAAAAGAAAAAUAGGUCAUUAUUUUAAAACGAAGGGAGUACAUAUAACACAAUCUUUAAAUUUUUACACAAACAUCUCUUAUAACUACAACCAACCAUCAAAAAAAAAAAUUAUUAUUUAUUUUUUAUGGUACAACAUCAUUUUUAAUUGUUACAGAC
This 216-nucleotide long non-coding RNA is filed under the name Capsicum annuum. RNAcentral describes it as "long non-coding RNA (CANN_LNC001213)". The record is from RNAcentral. Lineage: Eukaryota; Viridiplantae; Streptophyta; Magnoliopsida; Solanales; Solanaceae.